UUACGUCUCGCACUGGGAUCCGGAGGGACUCUUGCCGUAAAACCCCCAAUUUUCCAAAGGUUGACCUCGGAUCAGGUAGGAAUACCCGCUGAACUUAAGCAUAUCAAUAAGCGGAGGAAAAGAAACCAACAGGGAUUGCCUCAGUAACGGCGAGUGAAGCGGCAACAGCUCAAAUUUGAAAUCUGGCCCUAGGCCCGAGUUGUAAUUUGCAGAGGAUGCUUUUGGUGCGGUGCCUUCCAAGUUCCCUAGAACGGGACGCCAGAGAGGGUGAGAGCCCCGUACAGUUGGACACCAAGCCUUUGUAAAGCUCCUUCGACGAGUCGAGUAGUUUGGGAAUGCUGCUCAAAAUGGGAGGUAUAUUUCUUCUAAAGCUAAAUACCGGCCAGAGACCGAUAGCGCACAAGUAGAGUGAUCGAAAGAUGAAAAGCACUUUGAAAAGAGGGUUAAACAGCACGUGAAAUUGUUAAAAGGGAAGCGCUUGUGACCAGACUUGCGUCCGGUGAAUCACCCAGCUCUCGCGGCUGGGGCACUUCGCCGGCUCAGGCCAGCAUCAGCUCGCUGUCGGGGACAAAAGCUUCAGGAACGUAGCUCUCUUCGGGGAGUGUUAUAGCCUGUUGCAUAAUACCCUUCGGCGGGCUGAGGUACGCG
RNAcentral lists this ribosomal RNA (648 nucleotides) under fungal endophyte. Its description in RNAcentral is "eukaryotic LSU rRNA". It matches the Rfam family "Eukaryotic large subunit ribosomal RNA", at positions 1 to 599 of the family's 3401-position model. The record is from RNAcentral. Lineage: Eukaryota; Fungi.